AAGUUACGUGAAAUUGUGUCGUGAGGAAGAAGAAGUUGACUUCAUUCAUUGGUUUAGUUGUUAGAGUACCGGU
Molecule: small RNA, 73 nt
Filed under: Arabidopsis thaliana (thale cress)
Lineage: Eukaryota; Viridiplantae; Streptophyta; Magnoliopsida; Brassicales; Brassicaceae
Description: ATSL276030
Source: RNAcentral